Molecule: ribosomal RNA, 253 nt
Filed under: uncultured bacterium
Lineage: Bacteria
Description: partial 16S ribosomal RNA
Rfam family: Bacterial small subunit ribosomal RNA
Source: RNAcentral
UACAGAGGGUGCGAGCGUUGUUCGGAAUUAUUGGGCGUAAAGGGCGCGUAGGCGGCCUGGCAAGUGGAAGGUGAAAUCCCUCGGCUUAACCGAGGAACUGCCCUCCAAACUGCUUGGCUUGAGUCCGGGAGAGGUGAGUGGAAUUCCCAGUGUAGCGGUGAAAUGCGCAGAUAUCAGGAGGAACACCGGUGGCGAAGGUGGUGGUCUGGGCCGGCACUGACGCUGAGGAGCGAAAGCGUGGGGAGCAAACAGG